This is a long non-coding RNA of Equus caballus (horse), 2046 nucleotides long. RefSeq lists it as uncharacterized. The record is from RefSeq and is a predicted model, not a curated record. Lineage: Eukaryota; Metazoa; Chordata; Mammalia; Perissodactyla; Equidae.
UAACGGGGGAGGCGAGAGGAGAGAAGGAAGGGAGUGCGUCGUAAGGGGGGUGAGGGGGAGGCGGAGCUUUUGGAGAAAAAGAGAGAAAGAGCGGCAGAGCCAGCUUCCUUUUUCCGAUCAGGGACGGGUGGAGCUGGCAGGGACUGUGGCCGAGCUGCCGCCAGCGAGACUCGAGUACCCGCCCCCGCGGCCAGCAGCUGGGCACUCGCGCGCCCCUCCCCCGGGACGCGGGUGGCUUGGGGCGCGGACCCAGCCCCAUCGCUCCUGGUAUGGGACCACGGGACGAUUCCCGAGUGCCCCCGGGCUGAGCCUCUGCCAGAAUUUUCUUCGGAAGUUAACGGGGCAUCUGACUUGGCAGCUUUGCCACAGAUGGGGAGCACGUACCAAGAUGGAGAAGGCUGGGGUUGGGGGGGGGGCCUGAUUUGCAGGUACUACCAGUAUAGUAGGAGAGACACGUACAAAACCUAAUGGCUACAGCCGGCUUUUCCAAGCCACAAAACUGCUUAAGGCUGAGAGGUCAAAGAAGGACGUUGUCGAUGGUUUUUGCUUCCUUGAAGAAAUUGCCUCUGAACUGAAUCUUCAAGACCAAGUCUUCCAGAAAUGGCAGGGUGGAAGAUCAGGGGAGCACAGCAUAGGAAAACCAGGCAAGUUAAAACAUUUUCAUGGGAUCCUAAAAGUAGUGUGGCCCGGGGCUCCACGCCUGCUGUGCCCAGUGGAUAAGAUGGCAGUGGGCAAAGUCCAGCCAUGUGACAGCCUGGAUAGAACAUUAAAGCACCUGGAAGGCACUGGAGAUGCAACAGUAAACAAACAAGAAGUGGUUUGCAUGGAGGUGAUUCCACUGGGGCAAGACUUGACUGUGGAGAUGGCACUUUCCAAAGACGGCCACACGUUCUUCUAGAACUUUCCCUCUUCCUCAUCAAAAGGUGGUGUCUAACAUCCCUUCCAUUUAGUCUAGGCAGACUUGUCACUCACAACCAGCAGAAUGCAGCAGAAGUGAUUUUGUGUGACUUCUGAGGCUACGUCAUAAAAGGCGCUGCAGCUUCUGGCUUAUUAGUUGGGACACAUGCCUUUGGAGCUUUAAGAUGGAGUGUAGGAAGUCCACCUACCCUAAGACUGCCAUGCUGUGAUGAGACCCAGGCCACAUGGAGAGGCCAUGCAUGUGUGUUCUGGCUGACAUCCCAGCUGACAUCCCAGCCAACAGCCAGUGUCAGCUGCCAGACAUGUGAGUGAGCGAAUCUUUAGACAUUUCCAGACCCUAGCUGUCAAAUCACUUCCAGCCUUCAAGACUUCCCAGCUGAGGCCCCACACAUCAUGGUACAGAGACAGUCCAUCCCCACCGUGUUCUGUCCAAAUUCCUGACCCACAGAAUUCAUGAGCAUCAUAGAAUGGUGGUUGUUUAAACUACUAAAUUUGAGGUGGUUUACUAUGCAGAAAUAGUAUCUAGAACACUCACAAUAAGCAAGCAAAUACAUGAGCAAGAUCAUUUCAUAUUGUGAUAAGUCCUCAGGAAAUCAUAAGACAGCAUGAUAACUCGGAGGAAGGCCUCUUUAGCUUGGGGGUGCAGGGGCAUGCUGAUAGGCAGGGGAGGCAGGGGAGGUAGCAUCAGGAAAGGGCUUUCUGGAGAAACAUUUGAACUGGAAUCUGAGUGAGAAGGAGCCCAGCCACCAAAUAUCUGGCAGAGAGACUUCCAGGCAGAAGGUACAGCAAGUGCAAAGGCCCUGAGGCAGGAAUCAGGUGGGUGCACUGUGAAGAUCAGGAAGGCCAGUGUAACUAGGGGGAUGUGAGUGAGGAGGAGAGUGGGGGCAACGAAGUUGGAGAGGAAGGCAGAGAGGCAAGCUUCAGCAGUCUUACAGGGUGCUGAGAAGAGUUAGAUUUCAGAGUGAGUGAGCUGGGAAACCAGUGGAAGGUAUCACACAGGAGUGACUUGGUAGGUAAAGCUCUUUGUUUUCCCAAUCUUUUUUUUUUUUUUUUCUGCUUUAUCUCCCCAAAUUCCCCCCCGCCGCCGCCCCACAUAGUGUAUAUCUUAGUUGCAGGUCCUUCUAGUUG